CUACGGGGCGCUGCAGUGGGGAAUAUUGCACAAUGGGCGCAAGCCUGAUGCAGCCAUGCCGCGUGUAUGAAGAAGGCCUUCGGGUUGUAAAGUACUUUCAGCGGGGAGGAAGGGAGUAAAGUUAAUACCUUUGCUCAUUGACGUUACCCGCAGAAGAAGCACCGGCUAACUCCGUGCCAGCAGCCGCGGUAAUACGGAGGGUGCAAGCGUUAAUCGGAAUUACUGGGCGUAAAGCGCACGCAGGCGGUUUGUUAAGUCAGAUGUGAAAUCCCCGGGCUCAACCUGGGAACUGCAUCUGAUACAGGCAAGCUUGAGUCUCGUAGAGGGGGGUAGAAUUCCAGGUGUAGCGGUGAAAUGCGUAGAGAUCUGGAGGAAUACCGGUGGCGAAGGCGGCCCCCUGGACGAAGACUGACGCUCAGGUGCGAAAGCGUGGGGAGCAAACAGGAUUAGAUACCCCUGUAGUC
This 464-nucleotide ribosomal RNA is filed under the name uncultured bacterium. RNAcentral's name for it is "partial 16S ribosomal RNA". It matches the Rfam family "Bacterial small subunit ribosomal RNA", at positions 339 to 795 of the family's 1533-position model. The record is from RNAcentral.